This 546-nucleotide ribosomal RNA is filed under the name uncultured bacterium. RNAcentral's name for it is "partial 16S ribosomal RNA". It matches the Rfam family "Bacterial small subunit ribosomal RNA", at positions 355 to 895 of the family's 1533-position model. The record is from RNAcentral.
UGGGGAAUUUUGGACAAUGGGCGAAAGCCUGAUCCAGCAAUGCCGCGUGUGUGAAGAAGGCCUUCGGGUUGUAAAGCACUUUUGUCCGGAAAGAAAUCCUUGGCUCUAAUACAGUCGGGGGAUGACGGCACCGGAAGAAUAAGCACCGGCUAACUACGUGCCAGCAGCCGCGGUAAUACGUAGGGUGCAAGCGUUAAUCGGAAUUACUGGGCGUAAAGCGUGCGCAGGCGGUUUGCUAAGACCGAUGUGAAAUCCCCGGGCUCAACCUGGGAACUGCAUUGGUGACUGGCAGGCUAGAGUAUGGCAGAGGGGGGUAGAAUUCCACGUGUAGCAGUGAAAUGCGUAGAGAUGUGGAGGAAUACCGAUGGCGAAGGCAGCCCCCUGGGCCAAUACUGACGCUCAUGCACGAAAGCGUGGGGAGCAAACAGGAUUAGAUACCCUGGUAGUCCACGCCCUAAACGAUGUCAACUAGUUGUUGGGGAUUCAUUUCCUAGUAACGUAGCUAACGCGUGAAGUUGACCGCCUGGGGAGUACGGUCGCAAGAUU